RNAcentral lists this ribosomal RNA (593 nucleotides) under Alteromonas macleodii. Its description in RNAcentral is "bacterial SSU rRNA". It matches the Rfam family "Bacterial small subunit ribosomal RNA", at positions 112 to 707 of the family's 1533-position model. Lineage: Bacteria; Pseudomonadati; Pseudomonadota; Gammaproteobacteria; Alteromonadales; Alteromonadaceae. The record is from RNAcentral.
AAUGCUUGGGAACUUGCCUUUGCGAGGGGGAUAACAGUUGGAAACGACUGCUAAUACCGCAUAAUGUCUUCGGACCAAACGGGGCUUCGGCUCCGGCGCAAAGAAAGGCCCAAGUGAGAUUAGCUAGUUGGUAAGGUAACGGCUUACCAAGGCGACGAUCUCUAGCUGUUCUGAGAGGAAGAUCAGCCACACUGGGACUGAAACACGGCCCAGACUCCUACGGGAGGCAGCAGUGGGGAAUAUUGCACAAUGGGGGAAACCCUGAUGCAGCCAUGCCGCGUGUGUGAAGAAGGCCUUCGGGUUGUAAAGCACUUUCAGUUGUGAGGAAAAGUUAGUAGUUAAUACCUGCUAGCCGUGACGUUAACAACAGAAGAAGCACCGGCUAACUCCGUGCCAGCAGCCGCGGUAAUACGGAGGGUGCGAGCGUUAAUCCGAAUUACUGGGCGUAAAGCGCACGCAGGCGGUUUGUUAAGCUAGAUGUGAAAGCCCCGGGCUCAACCUGGGAUGGUCAUUUAGAACUGGCAGACUAGAGUCUUGGAGAGGGGAGUGGAAUUCCAGGUGUAGCGGUGAAAUGCGUAGAUAUCUGGAGGAAC